AUCUGAUACUGGCCAGCUUGAGUCUCGUAGAGGGGGGUAGAAUUCCAGGUGUAGCGGUGAAAUGCGUAGAGAUCUGGAGGAAUACCGGUGGCGAAGGCGGCCCCCUGGACGAAGACUGACGCUCAGGUGCGAAAGCGGGGGGAGCAAACAGGAUUAGAUACCCUGGUAGUCCACGCCGUAAACGAUGUCGACUUGGAGGUUGUGCCCUUGAGGCGUGGCUUUCCGGAGCUAACGCGUUAAGUCGACCGCCUGGGGAGUACGGCCCGCAAGUUAAAAACUCAAAAUGAAAUUGACGGGGGCCCCGCACAAGCGUUGAAGCAUGUUGGUUUUAAUUCGAUGCAACGCGAAAGAACCCUAACCUGGUCCUUGACAUCCACGGAAGUUUUCAGAAAAUGAAAAAUGUGCCUUCGGGAAACCGUGAAGAAAGGGGCUGCAUGGCUGUCGUCAGCUCCGGGUUGGGAAAUUGUUGGGUUAAGUCCCGCAACGAGCGGCAACCCUUUAUUCUUUUGUUGGCCAGGCGGUCGGGCCCGGAAACUCAAAAGGAGGACUGCCAGGUGAUAACUGGAGGAAAGGUGGGGAUAAGGCAAGGCCUCAUGGCCCUUUACAACCAGGGCUACCCACGUGCUACAAUGCGCAUACAAAGAGAACCGACCCUCCCGAGACCAAGCGGACCUUAAAAAGUGCGUCGGAAGUCCGGAUUGAAGGCUGCAACUCCGAUUCUUAAGUCGGAAUCGCUAGUAAUCGUGGAUCCAAAAUGCCACGGUGAAUACUUCCCGGGCCUUGUAAACACCGCCCGUCAAACAUGGGAGUGGGUUGCAAAAGAAGUAAGUAGC
This 833-nucleotide ribosomal RNA is filed under the name uncultured Escherichia sp. Its description in RNAcentral is "bacterial SSU rRNA". It matches the Rfam family "Bacterial small subunit ribosomal RNA", at positions 625 to 1434 of the family's 1533-position model. The record is from RNAcentral. Lineage: Bacteria; Pseudomonadati; Pseudomonadota; Gammaproteobacteria; Enterobacterales; Enterobacteriaceae.